CGUUGAAAAGUUAGGGGAUGAGCUGUGGAUAGGGGUGAAAGGCUAAACAAACCUGGAAAUAGCUGGUUCUCUCCGAAAACUAUUUAGGUAGUGCCUCGUGUCUCACCUUCGGGGGUAGAGCACUGUCAUGGUUGGGGGUCUAUUGCAGAUUACCCCGCCAUAGCAAACUCCGAAUACCGAAGAGUGCAAUCACGGGAGACAGACAUCGGGUGCUAACGUCCGGUGUCAAGAGGGAAACAACCCAGACCGCCAGCUAAGGUCCCCAAAUAUAGCUAAGUGGGAAACGAAGUGGGAAGGCUAAAACAGUCAGGAGGUUGGCUUAGAAGCAGCCACCCUUUAAAGAAAGCGUAAUAGCUCACUGAUCGAGUCGUCCUGCGCGGAAGAUGUAACGGGGCUAAGCUAUAUACCGAAGCUGCGGAUGCGAGCUUGCUCGCAUGGUAGGAGAGCGUUCCGUAAGCCUGCGAAGGUGCCUUGUAAAGGGUGCUGGAGGUAUCGGAAGUGCGAAUGCUGACAUGAGUAGCGAUAAAGGGGGUGAAAGGCCCCCUCGCCGUAAGCCCAAGGUUUCCUACGCAACGUUCAUCGGCGUAGGGUGAGUCGGCCCCUAAGGCGAGGCAGAAAUGCGUAGCUGAUGGGAAGCAGGUCAAUAUUCCUGCACCAUUGUUAGAUGCGAUGGGGGGACGGAUCGCGGAAGGUUGUCCGGGUGUUGGAAGUCCCGGUCGCUGCAUUGGAGAAGGCGCUUAGGCAAAUCCGGGCGCGUAAUUCAAGGGUGUGGCGCGAGCUCCUUAGGGAGCGAAGCAAUUGGAAGUGGUUCCAAGAAAAGCCUCUAAGCUUCAGUCUAACGAUGACCGUACCGCAAACCGACACAGGUGGGCGAGAUGAGUAUUCUAAGGCGCUUGAGAGAACUCGGGAGAAGGAACUCGGCAAAUUGGUACCGUAACUUCGGGAUAAGGUACGCCCUUGUAGCUUGACUGGCCUGCGCCAGGAGGGUGAAGGGGUUGCAAUAAACUGGUGGCUGCGACUGUUUAAUAAAAACACAGCACUCUGCAAACACGAAAGUGGACGUAUAGGGUGUGACGCCUGCCCGGUGCCGGAAGAUUAAAUGAUGGGGUGCAAGCUCUUGAUUGAAGUCCCGGUAAACGGCGGCCGUAACUAUAACGGUCCUAAGGUAGCGAAAUUCCUUGUCGGGUAAGUUCCGACCUGCACGAAUGGCGUAACGAUGGCCACACUGUCUCCUCCCGAGACUCAGCGAAGUUGAAGUGUUUGUGAUGAUGCAAUCUACCCGCGGCUAGACGGAGAGACCCCAUGAACCUUUACUGUAGCUUUGCAUUGGACUUUGAACCGAUCUGUGUAGGAUAGGUGGGAGGCUAUGAAGCCGGAACGCUAGUUUCGGUGGAGCCGUCCUUGAAAUACCACCCUGGUUUGUUUGAGGUUCUAACCUUGGCCCGUGAUCCGGGUCGGGGACAGUGCAUGGUAGGCAGUUUGACUGGGGCGGUCUCCUCCCAAAGCGUAACGGAGGAGUACGAAGGUACGCUAGGUACGGUCGGAAAUCGUGCUGAUAGUGCAAUGGCAUAAGCGUGCUUAACUGCGAGACCGACAAGUCGAGCAGGUGCGAAAGCAGGUCAUAGUGAUCCGGUGGUUCUGUAUGGAAGGGCCAUCGCUCAACGGAUAAAAGGUACUCUGGGGAUAACAGGCUGAUACCGCCCAAGAGUUCAUAUCGACGGCGGUGUUUGGCACCUCGAUGUCGGCUCAUCUCAUCCUGGGGCUGUAGCCGGUCCCAAGGGUAUGGCUGUUCGCCAUUUAAAGAGGUACGUGAGCUGGGUUUAAAACGUCGUGAGACAGUUUGGUCCCUAUCUGCCGUGGGCGUUGGAUAUUUGAAGGGGGCUGCUCCUAGUACGAGAGGACCGGAGUGGACGAACCUCUGGUGUACCGGUUGUCACGCCAGUGGCAUCGCCGGGUAGCUAUGUUCGGAAGAGAUAACCGCUGAAAGCAUCUAAGCGGGAAACUCGCCUUAAGAUGAGAUAUCCCUGGGGACUAGAUCCCCUUGAAGGGUCGUUCGAGACCAGGACGUUGAUAGGUCAGGUGUGUAAGCGCAGUAAUGCGUUCAGCUAACUGAUACUAAUUGCCCGUAAGGCUUGAUCCUAUAACA
This 2146-nucleotide ribosomal RNA is filed under the name Burkholderia cenocepacia. RNAcentral's name for it is "bacterial LSU rRNA". It matches the Rfam family "Bacterial large subunit ribosomal RNA", at positions 787 to 2925 of the family's 2925-position model. Lineage: Bacteria; Pseudomonadati; Pseudomonadota; Betaproteobacteria; Burkholderiales; Burkholderiaceae. The record is from RNAcentral.